UACAGAGGGUGCGAGCGUUGUUCGGAAUUAUUGGGCGUAAAGGGCGCGUAGGCGGCUUCGCUAGUCGGGCGUGAAAUGCCUGGGCUUAACCCGGGAAUUGCGCUCGAUACUUCGAGGCUAGAGUGUGGGAGAGGUUGGUGGAAUUCCCAGUGUAGAGGUGAAAUUCGUAGAUAUUGGGAAGAACACCGGUGGCGAAGGCGGCCAACUGGACCACAACUGACGCUGAGGCGCGAAAGCGUGGGGAGCAAACAGG
Molecule: ribosomal RNA, 253 nt
Filed under: uncultured prokaryote
Description: partial 16S ribosomal RNA
Rfam family: Bacterial small subunit ribosomal RNA
Source: RNAcentral